GACGAGGCACUACGGUGCUGAAGCAACAAAUGCCCUGCUUCCAGGAAAAGCCUCUAAGCAUCAGGUAACAUCAAAUCGUACCCCAAACCGACACAGGUGGUCAGGUAGAGAAUACCAAGGCGCUUGAGAGAACUCGGGUGAAGGAACUAGGCAAAAUGGUGCCGUAACUUCGGGAGAAGGCACGCUGACACGUAGGUGAAGUGAUUUACUCAUGGAGCUGAAGUCAGUCGAAGAUACCAGCUGGCUGCAACUGUUUAUUAAAAACACAGCACUGUGCAAACACGAAAGUGGACGUAUACGGUGUGACGCCUGCCCGGUGCCGGAAGGUUAAUUGAUGGGGUCAGCGCAAGCGAAGCUCCUGAUCGAAGCCCCGGUAAACGGCGGCCGUAACUAUAACGGUCCUAAGGUAGCGAAAUUCCUUGUCGGGUAAGUUCCGACCUGCACGAAUGGCGUAAUGAUGGCCAGGCUGUCUCCACCCGAGACUCAGUGAAAUUGAACUCGCUGUGAAGAUGCAGUGUACCCGCGGCAAGACGGAAAGACCCCGUGAACCUUUACUAUAGCUUGACACUGAACAUUGAGCCUUGAUGUGUAGGAUAGGUGGGAGGCUUUGAAGUGUGGACGCCAGUCUGCAUGGAGCCGACCUUGAAAUACCACCCUUUAAUGUUUGAUGUUCUAACGUGGACCCGUUACCCGGGUUGCGGACAGUGUCUGGUGGGUAGUUUGACUGGGGCGGUCUCCUCCUAAAGAGUAACGGAGGAGCACGAAGGUUGGCUAAUCCUGGUCGGACAUCAGGAGGUUAGUGCAAUGGCAUAAGCCAGCUUGACUGCGAGCGUGACGGCGCGAGCAGGUGCGAAAGCAGGUCAUAGUGAUCCGGUGGUUCUGAAUGGAAGGGCCAUCGCUCAACGGAUAAAAGGUACUCCGGGGAUAACAGGCUGAUACCGCCCAAGAGUUCAUAUCGACGGCGGUGUUUGGCACCUCGAUGUCGGCUCAUCACAUCCUGGGGCUGAAGUAGGUCCCAAGGGUAUGGCUGUUCGCCAUUUAAAGUGGUACGCGAGCUGGGUUUAGAACGUCGUGAGACAGUUCGGUCCCUAUCUGCCGUGGGCGCUGGAGAACUGAGGGGGGCUGCUCCUAGUACGAGAGGACCGGAGUGGACGCAUCACUGGUGUUCGGGUUGUCAUGCCAAUGGCACUGCCCGGUAGCUAAAUGCGGAAGAGAUAAGUGCUGAAAGCAUCUAAGCACGAAACUUGCCCCGAGAUGAGUUCUCCCUGAGACUUAAAGUCUCCUGAAGGAACGUUGAAGACGACGACGUUGAUAGGCCGGGUGUGUAAGCGCAGCGAUGCGUUGAGCUAACCGGUACUAAUGAACCGUGAGGCUUAACCUU
Molecule: ribosomal RNA, 1381 nt
Filed under: Salmonella enterica
Lineage: Bacteria; Pseudomonadati; Pseudomonadota; Gammaproteobacteria; Enterobacterales; Enterobacteriaceae
Description: partial 23S ribosomal RNA
Rfam family: Bacterial large subunit ribosomal RNA
Source: RNAcentral